RNAcentral lists this long non-coding RNA (1360 nucleotides) under Sarcophilus harrisii (Tasmanian devil). Its description in RNAcentral is "lncRNA (ENSSHAG00000032293.1)". Lineage: Eukaryota; Metazoa; Chordata; Mammalia; Dasyuromorphia; Dasyuridae. The record is from RNAcentral.
UCUUUCCUAAUCUACUAUGUGUAUACAAAUGCCCAUUUUAUUUGGUGCUUAAAUUCAUAAUUUUCAAAAUGAUUUUUUAAAAAUCAGCUGAAUGGAUAUGACAUGGCUGAAGUCCUGGAAGUGAACAUGAUUGCCAUGUGAAGCAUGGCAAUGUGAAGCUAAGAAGAGAGCCAAAAAUAGACCCUUGGGGGACACCUACAGUAAGGGGUAAAGGGCAUCAUCAUCAUCAUCAUCAUCAUAAGUAGCAUUUAUUUGGCUCUUUAAGAUUUACAAAACUCUUUACAAAUAUUUUAUCCUUACAGCAACUCUGGGAGACAGGUGCUAUUAUUGUUACCACUUUACAUAUGAGAAAACUGAGGCUGAGAUUGACUUGUCCAGGGUACACAGCUAAGUAUUUGAGUAGGAUCUGAAUUCAGCUCCAACAGCCACACCACCUAGUUCCCAAGAUUAUUAGCCAGUGGAAAAAGACCAACAACAACUUAGAGAUGUAAGCUCUGAAACCAAGAAUGGAGCAUACAGAAAAAGUAACUAGUCAACAGUAUAAAUAGUGGCAAAACAGAUCAAGGAGAAUGGGGAAUUCAUCAAAUAUGUAUUAUGUCUUUACUGUUUUAGGCACUAGGGAUGUGAGUUCAAAGAAAUAACCCUUACUCACAAUGAAUUACAUUCUAAUGGGGGAAACAAGUACAUAUACAAAUACUUAUGUAUGUAUACAUACAGCAUAUACAAAUACUUAUGUAUGUAUACAUACAGCAUAAAUAUAAAGUUACUAAGUACAAAUACAUACAAAAUAGUAGAAUUAAGGCACUUUGAGAAGGAAGACAUUAGCAGUUAGAGGAAUCGGGAAAAAUUGCAUUUGAAGAUAAGUGCCUAAACAGGAGGAUCUUAAAAGAAGAGAGACCAUGGGGGAUGACCAGGAUCAAGGCAUGGAAGAGUUUCAAGUCAUGUGUAAGAAACAGAGUAGACAGUUUGAUUUUUUCACAAAAUAUAGAAGGGGGGGGAGGGGAGGAGAGAUAUCUAAUUGGGCUGUAAAAACAGUUAAGAGUCAAAAAAUGAAAAAUUUUUAAAAGCUGAACAGGGGAGUUUAUAUUUCUAUCCUUAAGACACUAGGAAGACACUGAAGUUGGUUGAGUAGGGGAGUCAUGGUCAACUCUAUAUUUAAGGAAAACUAUUUAGGUAGCAGCAUUAAGGGAAUACUUGUAAGAAACAAAACAAGGAAGCCAAUAUAAUAACUACAAGCAAAGUGAUGAGGGCCUGGGCUAAGAUAGUGGCUGUAUGACUACAGAAAAGGAGUCAAAUGCAAGAUGUGAAUAUAGAAAUGGCAAGUCUGGCAAAUGACUGGAAAUGUGAGAUAAAAGAAAGG